This 460-nucleotide ribosomal RNA is filed under the name uncultured bacterium. Its description in RNAcentral is "partial 16S ribosomal RNA". It matches the Rfam family "Bacterial small subunit ribosomal RNA", at positions 338 to 795 of the family's 1533-position model. The record is from RNAcentral.
CCUACGGGUGGCAGCAGUGAGGAAUAUUGGUCAAUGGACGAGAGUCUGAACCAGCAACGUAGCGUGAAGGAUGAAUGCCCUAUGGGUGGUAAGCUUCUUUUAUAUGGGAGUAAAACAGGGUAUGCAUACCCUCUUGUAUGUACCAUAUGAAUAAGGAUCGGCUAACUCCGUGCCAUGAGCCGCGGUAAUACGGAGGAUCCGAGCGUUGUCCGGAUUUAUUGGGUUUAACGGGAGCGUAGGUGGGUUGAUAAGUCAGGUGUGAAAGUCUGCGGCUCAACCGGAAAAUUGCAGUUGAAACUGGCAGUCGUGAGUACAGUAGAGGUGGGUGGAACUCGUGGUGUAGCGGUGAAAUGCUUAGAUAUCACGAAGAACUCCGAUUGCGAAGGCAGCUCACUGGACUGCAACUGACACUGAUGCUCGAAAGUGUGGGUAGCAAACAGGAGUAGAUACCCUUGUAGUC